AUUGAACGCUGGCGGCAGGCUUAACACAUGCAAGUCGAGCGGGGGAAGGUAGCUUGCUCUCUGAUUUAGCGGCGGACGGGUGAGUAAUGCCUAGGAAGCUGCCUGGUCGUGGGGGAUAACGUUCCGAAAGGAAGGCUAACACCGCCUACGUCCUACGGUAGAAAGCAGGGGACCUUCGGGUCUUGCGAUAUCAGAUGAGCCUAGGUCGGAUUAGCUAGUUGGUGCGGUAAUGGCUCACCAAGGCGACGAGCCGUAACUGGGCUGAGAGGAUGAUCAGUCACACUGGAACUGAGACACGGUCCAGACUCCUACGGGAGGCAGCAGUGGGGAAUAUUGGACAAUGGGCGAAAGACUGAUCCAGCCAUGCCGCGUGUGUGAAGAAGGUCUUCGGAUUGUAAAGCACUUUAAGUUGGGAGGAAGGGUUGUAGAUUAAUACUCUGCAAUUUUGACGUUACCAACAGAAUAAGCACCGGCUAACUUCGUGCCAGCCGCCGCGGUAA
RNAcentral lists this ribosomal RNA (500 nucleotides) under uncultured bacterium. RNAcentral's name for it is "partial 16S ribosomal RNA". It matches the Rfam family "Bacterial small subunit ribosomal RNA", at positions 30 to 523 of the family's 1533-position model. The record is from RNAcentral.